GCGGCGGCGGCGGCGGCGGCGGGAGCCGCGGGGGCCCCCUUCCUCGCGGUGGGCCAGGCUCGGACCCCCGACCCGGGGCCUCAGCCGCCGAGCGCGAGGCUCCCCACCGGAAGCCCGAGGCCGAAUUCCACGCUAUUGUCCUUCUUUGCCUGGGGUCGCGUGCUCCCUGCGGCUGCCCUCGAGAGCCCGCAGUCUCCGUGGCCUUGGGCAAGGCAGUCGGCCUAGUCCGCCAGGCCGAGUUUGUGGAAAAACCUAGAUACAUUUCCUUUUCUCUUGAGUAAAUACCUUGGAGAAGAAUGGCUGGAACACAUCAUAGGUGUACUCUGACCUUCUAUCAGUUUCUUCAUCAAGUCAAGCUUUUUCACAAUGCACCUACUCUUUCUUCUAACCUAAUAAGUGAACCAAGAUUUAAGAUUUACCCUAAGAGCGAUGGAAACUGAAAGAUAAGUUUUUAAUCAGAAGAAUUACAUCAUUUGUUUUAAACUUUCAAAGGAUAUCCCUGACUCUCAAUGGAGAGUAGAUUAUACAGGGGUGAAAAUGGAGUAGGGAG
Molecule: long non-coding RNA, 550 nt
Filed under: Equus asinus (donkey)
Lineage: Eukaryota; Metazoa; Chordata; Mammalia; Perissodactyla; Equidae
Description: lncRNA (ENSEASG00005026853.1)
Source: RNAcentral